This 577-nucleotide ribosomal RNA is filed under the name uncultured bacterium. Its description in RNAcentral is "partial 16S ribosomal RNA". It matches the Rfam family "Bacterial small subunit ribosomal RNA", at positions 355 to 920 of the family's 1533-position model. The record is from RNAcentral.
UGGGGAAUAUUGCACAAUGGGCGCAAGCCUGAUGCAGCCAUGCCGCGUGUGUGAAGAAGGCCUUCGGGUUGUAAAGCACUUUCAGCGAGGAGGAAGGUGGUGAGCUUAAUACGCUCAUCAAUUGACGUUACUCGCAGAAGAAGCACCGGCUAACUCCGUGCCAGCAGCCGCGGUAAUACGGAGGGUGCAAGCGUUAAUCGGAAUUACUGGGCGUAAAGCGCACGCAGGCGGUUUGUUAAGUCAGAUGUGAAAUCCCCGGGCUCAACCUGGGAACUGCAUUUGAAACUGGCAAGCUAGAGUCUCGUAGAGGGGGGUAGAAUUCCAGGUGUAGCGGUGAAAUGCGUAGAGAUCUGGAGGAAUACCGGUGGCGAAGGCGGCCCCCUGGACGAAGACUGACGCUCAGGUGCGAAAGCGUGGGGCAGCAAACAGGAUUAGAUACCCUGGUAGUCCACGCUGUAAAACGAUGUCGAUUUUGGAGGUUGUGCCCUUGAGGCGUGGCUUCCGGAGCUAACGCGUUAAAGUCGACCGCCUGGGGAGUACGGCCGCAAGGUUAAAACUCAAAGGAAUUGACGGGGUC